GGAAGUAAAAGACAAGGUUUCCGUAGGUGAACCUGCGGAAGGAUCAUUAUUGUAUAACCGAGGUGCGAGGGCUGUCGCUGACCCGAAAGGUCGUGCACGCCCGAGUGCCCUCACACACAUCCAUCUCACCCCUAUGUGCACCACCGCGUGGGUCCCCCUUUGGCUUGUUCGGAGGGGGGCUUACGUUUUCACACAAACUUUGUAUGCAGUGUAGAAUGUAUUUUUUGUUUUUGCGAUCACGCAAUCAAUACAACUUUCAACAACGGAUCUCUUGGCUCUC
Molecule: unclassified non-coding RNA, 280 nt
Filed under: plant metagenome
Description: partial contains small subunit ribosomal RNA, internal transcribed spacer 1, and 5.8S ribosomal RNA
Source: RNAcentral